This 468-nucleotide ribosomal RNA is filed under the name uncultured bacterium. RNAcentral's name for it is "partial 16S ribosomal RNA". It matches the Rfam family "Bacterial small subunit ribosomal RNA", at positions 28 to 507 of the family's 1533-position model. The record is from RNAcentral.
GACGAACGCUGGCGGCGUGCUUAACACAUGCAAGUCGAACGGAAAGGCCCUGCUUUUGUGGGGUGCUCGAGUGGCGAACGGGUGAGUAACACGUGAGUAACCUGCCCUUGACUUUGGGAUAACUUCAGGAAACUGGGGCUAAUACCGGAUAGGAGCUCCUGCUGCAUGGUGGGGGUUGGAAAGUUUCGGCGGUUGGGGAUGGACUCGCGGCUUAUCAGCUUGUUGGUGGGGUAGUGGCUUACCAAGGUUUUGACGGGUAGCCGGCCUGAGAGGGUGACCGGCCACAUUGGGACUGAGAUACGGCCCAGACUCCUACGGGAGGCAGCAGUGGGGAAUAUUGCACAAUGGGCGGAAGCCUGAUGCAGCAACGCCGCGUGCGGGAUGACGGCCUUCGGGUUGUAAACCGCUUUCGCCUGUGACGAAGCGUGAGUGACGGUAAUGGGUAAAGAAGCACCAGCUAACUACGUG